AUUGAACGCUGGCGGCAGGCCUAACACAUGCAAGUCGAGCGGAGCGGCGGUCGGGUGAGUAAUGCCUAGGACUCUGCCUGGUAGUGGGGGAUAACGUCCGGAAACGGGCGCUCAUACCGCAUACUAUCAGAUGAGCCUAGGUCGGAUUAGCUAGUUGGUGGGGUAAAGGCCUACCAAGUCGACGAUCCGUAACUGGUCGGAGAGGAUGAUCAGUCACACUGGAACGGAGACACGGUCCAGACUCCUACGGGAGGCAGCAGUGGGGAAUAGUGGACAAUGGGCGAAAGCCUGAUCCAGCCAUGCCGCGUGUGUGAAGAAGGUCGUCGGAUUGUAAAGCACUUUAAGUUGGGAGGCGUUACCAACAGAAUAAGCACCGGCUAACUUCGUGCCAGCAGCCGCGGUAAUUC
This 407-nucleotide ribosomal RNA is filed under the name uncultured bacterium. Its description in RNAcentral is "partial 16S ribosomal RNA". It matches the Rfam family "Bacterial small subunit ribosomal RNA", at positions 30 to 526 of the family's 1533-position model. The record is from RNAcentral.